CGGUGGUAGAGCUAGCAUCUUUCUCCGGAGCGGCCGCUGGCAGAAACAUGCUGCUGGGCAUCAUCACCUCUGGUGUUGUCACCGUCAUGAUGAGCUUCUCAACGCAGUCAGGGGACACACUGUGCAGGUGAGUGAGGUGCAGCUGCAGGUGGAUCUUGUUGUUGAGCAUGUCCUGGCAGAGCGGGCAGCGGAGCAUGGGCUGCACCGAGUGCUGGGUCAUGG
This 222-nucleotide long non-coding RNA is filed under the name Gallus gallus (chicken). The record is from RNAcentral. Lineage: Eukaryota; Metazoa; Chordata; Aves; Galliformes; Phasianidae.